UAGGGAAUCUUCGGCAAUGGGGGCAACCCUGACCGAGCAACGCCGCGUGAGUGAAGAAGUUUUUCGGAUCGUAAAGCUCUGUUGUAAGAGAAGAACGUGUGUGAGAGUGGAAAGUUCACACAGUGACGGUAACUUACCAGAAAGGGACGGCUAACUACGUGCCAGCAGCCGCGGUAAUACGUAGGUCCCGGGCGCUGUCCGGAUUUAUUGGGCGUAAAGCGAGCGCAGGCGGUUUAAUAAGUCUGAAGUUAAAGGCAGUGGCUUAACCAUUGUUCGCUUUGGAAACAGUUAAACUUGAGUGCAGAAGGGGAGGAUGGAAGUCCAUGUGUAGCGGUGAAAUGCGUAGAUAUAUGGAGGAACACCGGUGGCGAAAGCGGCGCUCUGGUCUGUAACUGGCGCUGAGGCUCGAAAGCGUGGGGAGCAAACAGG
Molecule: ribosomal RNA, 429 nt
Filed under: bacterium
Lineage: Bacteria
Description: partial 16S ribosomal RNA
Rfam family: Bacterial small subunit ribosomal RNA
Source: RNAcentral